GAAUUCAACUCCUACGGGAGGCAGCAGUAGGGAAUCUUCGGCAAUGGACGGAAGUCUGACCGAGCAACGCCGCGUGAGUGAAGAAGGUUUUCGGAUCGUAAAGCUCUGUUGUAAGAGAAGAACGAGUGUGAGAGUGGAAAGUUCACACUGUGACGGUAUCUUACCAGAAAGGGACGGCUAACUACGUGCCAGCAGCCGCGGUAAUACGUAGGUCCCGAGCGUUGUCCGGAUUUAUUGGGCGUAAAGCGAGCGCAGGCGGUUAGAUAAGUCUGAAGUUAAAGGCUGUGGCUUAACCAUAGUACGCUUUGGAAACUGUUUAACUUGAGUGCAAGAGGGGAGAGUGGAAUUCCAUGUGUAGCGGUGAAAUGCGUAGAUAUAUGGAGGAACACCGGUGGCGAAAGCGGCUCUCUGGCUUGUAACUGACGCUGAGGCUCGAAAGCGUGGGGAGCAAACAGGAUUAGAAACCCUAGUAGUCCAGGCGUU
Molecule: ribosomal RNA, 483 nt
Filed under: uncultured bacterium
Lineage: Bacteria
Description: bacterial SSU rRNA
Rfam family: Bacterial small subunit ribosomal RNA
Source: RNAcentral